This 2923-nucleotide ribosomal RNA is filed under the name Klebsiella pneumoniae. RNAcentral's name for it is "23S ribosomal RNA". It matches the Rfam family "Bacterial large subunit ribosomal RNA". Lineage: Bacteria; Pseudomonadati; Pseudomonadota; Gammaproteobacteria; Enterobacterales; Enterobacteriaceae. The record is from RNAcentral.
GGGUUGUGAGGUUAAGCGACUAAGCGUACACGGUGGAUGCCCUGGCAGUCAGAGGCGAUGAAGGACGUGCUAAUCUGCGAAAAGCGUCGGUAAGGUGAUAUGAACCGUUAUAACCGGCGAUGUCCGAAUGGGGAAACCCAGUGUGAUUCGUCACACUAUCGUUAACUGAAUACAUAGGUUAACGAGGCGAACCGGGGGAACUGAAACAUCUAAGUACCCCGAGGAAAAGAAAUCAACCGAGAUUCCCCCAGUAGCGGCGAGCGAACGGGGAGCAGCCCAGAGUCUGAAUCAGCUUGUGUGUUAGUGGAACGGUCUGGAAAGUCCGACGGUACAGGGUGAUAGUCCCGUACACCAAAAUGCACAGGCUGUGAACUCGAAGAGUAGGGCGGGACACGUGGUAUCCUGUCUGAAUAUGGGGGGACCAUCCUCCAAGGCUAAAUACUCCUGACUGACCGAUAGUGAACCAGUACCGUGAGGGAAAGGCGAAAAGAACCCCGGCGAGGGGAGUGAAAAAGAACCUGAAACCGUGUACGUACAAGCAGUGGGAGCACCUUCGGGUGUGACUGCGUACCUUUUGUAUAAUGGGUCAGCGACUUAUAUUCUGUAGCAAGGUUAACCGUAUAGGGGAGCCGCAGGGAAACCGAGUCUUAACUGGGCGUUAAGUUGCAGGGUAUAGACCCGAAACCCGGUGAUCUAGCCAUGGGCAGGUUGAAGGUUGGGUAACACUAACUGGAGGACCGAACCGACUAAUGUUGAAAAAUUAGCGGAUGACUUGUGGCUGGGGGUGAAAGGCCAAUCAAACCGGGAGAUAGCUGGUUCUCCCCGAAAGCUAUUUAGGUAGCGCCUCGUGAAUUCAUCUUCGGGGGUAGAGCACUGUUUCGGCUAGGGGGUCAUCCCGACUUACCAACCCGAUGCAAACUACGAAUACCGAAGAAUGUUAUCACGGGAGACACACGGCGGGUGCUAACGUCCGUCGUGAAGAGGGAAACAACCCAGACCGCCAGCUAAGGUCCCAAAGUCAUGGUUAAGUGGGAAACGAUGUGGGAAGGCACAGACAGCCAGGAUGUUGGCUUAGAAGCAGCCAUCAUUUAAAGAAAGCGUAAUAGCUCACUGGUCGAGUCGGCCUGCGCGGAAGAUGUAACGGGGCUAAACCAUGCACCGAAGCUGCGGCAGCGACACUAUGUGUUGUUGGGUAGGGGAGCGUUCUGUAAGCCUGCGAAGGUGACCUGUGAGGGUUGCUGGAGGUAUCAGAAGUGCGAAUGCUGACAUAAGUAACGAUAAAGCGGGUGAAAAGCCCGCUCGCCGGAAGACCAAGGGUUCCUGUCCAACGUUAAUCGGGGCAGGGUGAGUCGACCCCUAAGGCGAGGCCGAAAGGCGUAGUCGAUGGGAAACAGGUUAAUAUUCCUGUACUUGGUGUUACUGCGAAGGGGGGACGGAGAAGGCUAUGUUAGCCGGGCGACGGUUGUCCCGGUUUAAGCAUGUAGGCUGGUUGUCCAGGCAAAUCCGGAUAAUCAAGGCUGAGGUGUGAUGACGAGGCACUACGGUGCUGAAGUAACAAAUGCCCUGCUUCCAGGAAAAGCCUCUAAGCAUCAGGUAACAUUAAAUCGUACCCCAAACCGACACAGGUGGUCAGGUAGAGAAUACCAAGGCGCUUGAGAGAACUCGGGUGAAGGAACUAGGCAAAAUGGUGCCGUAACUUCGGGAGAAGGCACGCUGGUGUGUAGGUGAAGUCCCUGCGGAUGGAGCUGAGACCAGUCGAAGAUACCAGCUGGCUGCAACUGUUUAUUAAAAACACAGCACUGUGCAAACACGAAAGUGGACGUAUACGGUGUGACGCCUGCCCGGUGCCGGAAGGUUAAUUGAUGGGGUUAUCCGUAAGGAGAAGCUCUUGAUCGAAGCCCCGGUAAACGGCGGCCGUAACUAUAACGGUCCUAAGGUAGCGAAAUUCCUUGUCGGGUAAGUUCCGACCUGCACGAAUGGCGUAAUGAUGGCCAGGCUGUCUCCACCCGAGACUCAGUGAAAUUGAACUCGCUGUGAAGAUGCAGUGUACCCGCGGCAAGACGGAAAGACCCCGUGAACCUUUACUAUAGCUUGACACUGAACAUUGAGCCUUGAUGUGUAGGAUAGGUGGGAGGCUUUGAAGCGUGGACGCCAGUCUGCGUGGAGCCAACCUUGAAAUACCACCCUUUAAUGUUUGAUGUUCUAACGUUGGCCCCUGACCGGGGUUGCGGACAGUGUCUGGUGGGUAGUUUGACUGGGGCGGUCUCCUCCCAAAGCGUAACGGAGGAGCACGAAGGUUAGCUAAUCCUGGUCGGACAUCAGGAGGUUAGUGCAAUGGCAUAAGCUAGCUUGACUGCGAGCGUGACGGCGCGAGCAGGUGCGAAAGCAGGUCAUAGUGAUCCGGUGGUUCUGAAUGGAAGGGCCAUCGCUCAACGGAUAAAAGGUACUCCGGGGAUAACAGGCUGAUACCGCCCAAGAGUUCAUAUCGACGGCGGUGUUUGGCACCUCGAUGUCGGCUCAUCACAUCCUGGGGCUGAAGUAGGUCCCAAGGGUAUGGCUGUUCGCCAUUUAAAGUGGUACGCGAGCUGGGUUUAGAACGUCGUGAGACAGUUCGGUCCCUAUCUGCCGUGGGCGCUGGAGAAUUGAGGGGGGCUGCUCCUAGUACGAGAGGACCGGAGUGGACGCAUCACUGGUGUUCGGGUUGUCAUGCCAAUGGCACUGCCCGGUAGCUAAAUGCGGAAGAGAUAAGUGCUGAAAGCAUCUAAGCACGAAACUUGCCCCGAGAUGAGUUCUCCCUGAGACUUUAAGUCUCCUGAAGGAACGUUAAAGACGAUGACGUUGAUAGGCCGGGUGUGUAAGCGCAGCGAUGCGUUGAGCUAACCGGUACUAAUGAACCGUGAGGCUUAACCUUACAACGCCGAAG